RNAcentral lists this RNase P RNA (339 nucleotides) under human gut metagenome. RNAcentral describes it as "Bacterial RNase P class A". It matches the Rfam family "Bacterial RNase P class A". From Rfam's summary of the family: Ribonuclease P (RNase P) is a ubiquitous endoribonuclease, found in archaea, bacteria and eukarya as well as chloroplasts and mitochondria. Its best characterised activity is the generation of mature 5'-ends of tRNAs by cleaving the 5'-leader elements of precursor-tRNAs. The record is from RNAcentral. RNAcentral also lists the same sequence under 2 other names.
UAAGACAGGUGACUGCAUGCGGCCCGACCGUAUGAGGAAAGUCCGAGCUCCACAGGGCAGGGUGCCGGAUAACGUCCGGCGGAGGCGACUCCAGGGAAAGUGCAACAGAAAUAUACCGCCGCACUUGUGCGGUAAGGAUGGAAAGGCGAGGUAAGAGCUCACCGGCGGCCUGGCGACUUGUCCGCCAUGUAAACCCCACCCGGUGCAAGAUUGGAAUGGGAGCAUUCAAUGGCGGCCCGUCACGCUCCUGAUAAUCGCACGAGCCUGCCGGCAACGACAGGCCUAGAUAGAUGGUCACCCAGGAACGAAAGUUCCGGACAGAACUCGGCUUACGGCUUG